RNAcentral lists this ribosomal RNA (492 nucleotides) under uncultured bacterium. RNAcentral's name for it is "partial 16S ribosomal RNA". It matches the Rfam family "Bacterial small subunit ribosomal RNA", at positions 29 to 507 of the family's 1533-position model. The record is from RNAcentral.
AGUGAACGCUGGCGGUAGGCCUAACACAUGCAAGUCGAACGGCAGCACAGUAAGAGCUUGCUCUUACGGGUGGCGAGUGGCGGACGGGUGAGGAAUACAUCGGAAUCUACUUUUUCGUGGGGGAUAACGUAGGGAAACUUACGCUAAUACCGCAUACGACCUACGGGUGAAAGCAGGGGAUCUUCGGACCUUGCGCGAUUGAAUGAGCCGAUGUCGGAUUAGCUAGUUGGCGGGGUAAGGGCCCACCAAGGCGACGAUCCGUAGCUGGUCUGAGAGGAUGAUCAGCCACACUGGAACUGAGACACGGUCCAGACUCCUACGGGAGGCAGCAGUGGGGAAUAUUGGACAAUGGGCGCAAGCCUGAUCCAGCAAUACCGCGUGGGUGAAGAAGGCCUUCGGGUUGUAAAGCCCUUUUGUUGGGAAAGAAAAGCAGCAGGUUAAUACCCCGCUGUUCUGACGGUACCCAAAGAAUAAGCACCGGCUAACUUCGUG